Molecule: non-coding RNA, 24 nt
Filed under: Arabidopsis thaliana (thale cress)
Lineage: Eukaryota; Viridiplantae; Streptophyta; Magnoliopsida; Brassicales; Brassicaceae
Source: RNAcentral
UCAAGGCUGAUAGGUGCAGCAUGU